AUGAACGCUGGCGGCGUGCUUAACACAUGCAAGUCGAACGAAGCACCUCUAAUCGAAGAUUGAGAAAGCUUGCUUUGAUUGAUUCACCUUGAGGUGACUGAGUGGCGGACGGGUGAGUAACGCGUGGGUAACCUACCCUAUACAGGGGGAUAACAGUUGGAAACGACUGCUAAUACCGCAUAAGCGCACAGGACCGCAUGGUCUAGUGUGAAAAACUCCGGUGGUAUAGGAUGGACCCGCGUCUGAUUAGCUAGUUGGUGAGGUAACGGCUCACCAAGGCGACGAUCAGUAGCCGACCUGAGAGGGUGACCGGCCACAUUGGGACUGAGACACGGCCCAAACUCCUACGGGAGGCAGCAGUGGGGAAUAUUGCACAAUGGGCGAAAGCCUGAUGCAAGCGACGCCGCGUGAACGAAGAAGUACUUCGGUAUGUAAAGUUCUAUCAGCAGGGAAGAAAAAUGACGGUACCUGACUAAGAAGCUCCGGCUAAAUACGUGCCAGCAGCAGC
Molecule: ribosomal RNA, 508 nt
Filed under: uncultured bacterium
Lineage: Bacteria
Description: bacterial SSU rRNA
Rfam family: Bacterial small subunit ribosomal RNA
Source: RNAcentral